GACGGAGGGUGCAAGCGUUGUUCGGAAUUACUGGGCGUAAAGCGUACGUAGGCGGCGGAUUAAGUCGAAAUGUUAAAGCCUGGGGCUCAACCCCAGAGAUGCAUUCGAUACUGGUCUGCUAGAGGGUGAUAGAGGAAAGCGGAAUUCCCAGUGUAGCGGUGAAAUGCGUAGAUAUUGGGAGGAACAUCAGUAGCGAAGGCGCUUUCUGGGUCACACCUGGACGCUGAGGUACGAAAGCGUGGGGAGCAAACGGG
Molecule: ribosomal RNA, 254 nt
Filed under: uncultured bacterium
Lineage: Bacteria
Description: partial 16S ribosomal RNA
Rfam family: Bacterial small subunit ribosomal RNA
Source: RNAcentral